This 301-nucleotide ribosomal RNA is filed under the name uncultured bacterium. RNAcentral describes it as "partial 16S ribosomal RNA". It matches the Rfam family "Bacterial small subunit ribosomal RNA", at positions 509 to 807 of the family's 1533-position model. The record is from RNAcentral.
CAGUAGCCGCGGUAAUACAGAGGGUGCGAGCGUUAAUCGGAUUUACUGGGCGUAAAGCGUGCGUAGGCGGCUUCUUAAGUCGGAUGUGAAAUCCCUGAGCUUAACUUAGGAAUUGCAUUCGAUACUGGGAAGCUAGAGUAUGGGAGAGGAUGGUAGAAUUCCAGGUGUAGCGGUGAAAUGCGUAGAGAUCUGGAGGAAUACCGAUGGCGAAUGCAGCCAUCUGGCCUAAUACUGACGCUGAGGUACGAAAGCAUGGGGAGCAAACAGGAUUAGAUACCCCAGUAGUCCCUGUCUCUUAUAC